GUACACGCUGUGACUAGCAUAUCAAUAAGCGGAGGAAAAGAAACUAACAAGGAUUCCCCUAGUAACGGCGAGUGAAGCGGGAAGAGCUCAAAUUUGAAAUCUUAAAGGGUUUCCCUUUACGAAUUGUAGUUUAAAGAAGUGUUUUCUGUUGAGGUUUUGGUAAAAGUUCUUUGGAAUAGGACAUCAUAGAGGGUGAGAAUCCCGUAUUUGACCUUUACUUUCAACUUUGUGAUACACUUUCAAAGAGUCGGAUUGUUUGGGAAUGCAGUCCAAAAUGGGUGGUAAAUUUCAUCUAAAGCUAAAUAUUGGCGAGAGACCGAUAGCGAACAAGUACCGUGAGGGAAAGAUGAAAAGAACUUUGAAAAGAGAGUUAAACAAUACGUGAAAUUGUCAAAAGGGAAGCGUUUGACACCAGUGUUGUUUUUCUGAAAAUCAAUUAAAGUACUGUUUAUGCUAAGCUGUUUAGACUUUAUCAGCUAUCUGUUUAGUUUUGAGCUUUUCUUUAAUGCACUUUUCAGUUAACAAGUCAACAUCAAUUUCUUUUGCUGUAAAAAAGCUUGAGGAAGGUGGCUUGAGAUUCGUCUUAAGUGUUUAUAGCCUCUUGCCUAUGCAGUCGGAGAGAUUGAGGUCUGCAGCGUAGAUCCUUCGGGGCUAAAUGCAUUUGUGCUAAGUUAUAGCAUUUCAUAGACAACUUGUUGACUAUGAUUUGUCUUGUAGCUUACUCGCUUAUGUUAUUUUACCUACGCUUAGGAUGUUGACGAGACUGUCGAUCUC
RNAcentral lists this ribosomal RNA (774 nucleotides) under uncultured Neocallimastigales. RNAcentral describes it as "partial large subunit ribosomal RNA". It matches the Rfam family "Eukaryotic large subunit ribosomal RNA", at positions 22 to 647 of the family's 3401-position model. The record is from RNAcentral. Lineage: Eukaryota; Fungi; Neocallimastigomycota; Neocallimastigomycetes; Neocallimastigales.